Molecule: ribosomal RNA, 1054 nt
Filed under: Escherichia coli
Lineage: Bacteria; Pseudomonadati; Pseudomonadota; Gammaproteobacteria; Enterobacterales; Enterobacteriaceae
Description: partial 23S ribosomal RNA
Rfam family: Bacterial large subunit ribosomal RNA
Source: RNAcentral
GGGACACGUGGUAUCCUGUCUGAAUAUGGGGGGACCAUCCUCCAAGGCUAAAUACUCCUGACUGACCGAUAGUGAACCAGUACCGUGAGGGAAAGGCGAAAAGAACCCCGGCGAGGGGAGUGAAAAAGAACCUGAAACCGUGUACGUACAAGCAGUGGGAGCACGCUUAGGCGUGUGACUGCGUACCUUUUGUAUAAUGGGUCAGCGACUUAUAUUCUGUAGCAAGGUUAACCGAAUAGGGGAGCCGAAGGGAAACCGAGUCUUAACUGGGCGUUAAGUUGCAGGGUAUAGACCCGAAACCCGGUGAUCUAGCCAUGGGCAGGUUGAAGGUUGGGUAACACUAACUGGAGGACCGAACCGACUAAUGUUGAAAAAUUAGCGGAUGACUUGUGGCUGGGGGUGAAAGGCCAAUCAAACCGGGAGAUAGCUGGUUCUCCCCGAAAGCUAUUUAGGUAGCGCCUCGUGAAUUCAUCUCCGGGGGUAGAGCACUGUUUCGGCAAGGGGGUCAUCCCGACUUACCAACCCGAUGCAAACUGCGAAUACCGGAGAAUGUUAUCACGGGAGACACACGGCGGGUGCUAACGUCCGUCGUGAAGAGGGAAACAACCCAGACCGCCAGCUAAGGUCCCAAAGUCAUGGUUAAGUGGGAAACGAUGUGGGAAGGCCCAGACAGCCAGGAUGUUGGCUUAGAAGCAGCCAUCAUUUAAAGAAAGCGUAAUAGCUCACUGGUCGAGUCGGCCUGCGCGGAAGAUGUAACGGGGCUAAACCAUGCACCGAAGCUGCGGCAGCGACGCUUAUGCGUUGUUGGGUAGGGGAGCGUUCUGUAAGCCUGUGAAGGUGUGCUGUGAGGCAUGCUGGAGGUAUCAGAAGUGCGAAUGCUGACAUAAGUAACGAUAAAGCGGGUGAAAAGCCCGCUCGCCGGAAGACCAAGGGUUCCUGUCCAACGUUAAUCGGGGCAGGGUGAGUCGACCCCUAAGGCGAGGCCGAAAGGCGUAGUCGAUGGGAAACAGGUUAAUAUUCCUGUACUUGGUGUUACUGCGAAGGGGGGACGGAG